ACAUAGCAACGGAAGUAAGGCGUUGAGGCCGCCCAUGCUUCCGGAAGAGCGGGAUUGAGUUGUGGGAAUCCUGGUCUCCGCGUGUGUGUUUACAGCGGCGCGGGCUCCGUGCUAGGGGGUGCUGGCGCCGCGGGGCUGGUGAGUAAGGGCAGAAGCGAGAAGGAAGGAACCUCAUGGUUCUCAGGCCUGCUGGUCCCUGCCAGGCAUCUACCGUGCCCGGAGACCCAAACAUGGCAACGCUGGAAGAAAGCUUCCCCCGAGGGGGUACAAGAAAGAUCCACAAAUCAGAGAAGGCUUUCCAGCAGUCAGUUGAACAAGACAACUUAUUUGAUAUUUCUACUGAAGAGAAAUCCACCAAAAGGAAAAAGAGCCAGAAAGGGCCAGCAAAAACAAAAAAGUUGAAAAUCGAGAAGAGAGAAAGCAGCAAGUCUGUAAGAGAGAAGUUUGAAAUCCUUAGUGUUGAGUCCCUGUGUGAGGGAAUGCGGAUUUUAGGUUGUGUAAAAGAGGUAAAUGAAUUAGAACUGGUGAUCAGUCUCCCCAAUGGCCUCCGGGGAUUUGUGCAAGCAACUGAAAUCUGUGAUGCUUACACCAAAAAACUGAAUGAGCAAGUGGCACAAGAAGAACCUCUGAAGGAUCUACUCCAGUUGCCUGAGCUUUUCUCACCUGGAAUGCUGGUGAGAUGUGUGGUGAGCAGUGUGGGCAUCACAGAGAGAGGAAAAAGGAGUGUGAAGCUAUCUCUUAACCCCAAAAAUGUCAACAGAGUGCUGAGUGCUGAGGCCUUGAAGCCUGGCAUGUUGCUCACAGGCACUGUGUCCAGCUUGGAAGACCAUGGCUACCUAGUGGACAUUGGUGUUGAGGGGACCAGAGCAUUUUUGCCACUGCCAAAAGCCCAGGAGUACAUCCGACAGAAGAACAAAGGUGCUAAAUUGAAGGUGGGUCAGUACCUGAACUGUGUCAUUGAAGAGGUGAAAGGCAAUGGAGGAGUUGUUAGUCUGUCUGUUGGUCAUGCAGAGGUUUCUACUGCCAUUGCUACUGAGGAGCAAAACUGGACCCUUAAUAACUUGCUACCAGGACUGGUAGUCAAAGCCCAGGUACAGAAGGUGACUCCACAUGGCCUUAGGCUAAAUUUCCUCACAUUCUUCACAGGCCUAGUUGACUUUAUGCAUCUGGAUCCCAAGAAGGCUGGAACAUAUUUCUCAAACCAAGCAGUCAGGGCCUGCAUCCUCUGUGUCCAUCCUCGGACCAGAGUUGUGCGCCUGAGCUUGCGCCCUAUCUUCCUACAACCUGGGCGCCCACUUACCCGGCUGUCUUGCCAGCACCUUGGAGCUGUGCUAGAUGACGUUCCUGUCCAGGGCUUUUUCAACAAGGCUGGGGCCAUUUUCAGACUGAAGGAUGGGAUUCUGGCCUAUGCACGGCUCAGCCAUCUCUCUGAUUCUAAGAACACCUUCAAACCUGAGAGCUUCAAGCCAGGGAACACUCAUAAGUGUAGAAUUAUUGACUACAGCCAAAUGGAUGAACUGGCCUUACUCUCUCUGCGGACGUCUAUUAUUGAAGCUCAGUACCUUAGCUAUCAUGACAUCAAACCUGGGGCAGUGGUAAAGGGCACAGUACUAACUAUAAAGCCAUAUGGGAUGCUGUUGAAGGUGGGCCAGCAUAUAAGGGGCCUGGUACCUGCCAUGCACCUGGCUGACAUCCUGAUUAAGAAUCCAGAAAAGAAGUACCACGCUGGGGACGAGGUCAAGUGCCGGGUAUUGCUUUGUGACUCCGAAGACAAGAAGCUAAUGAUGACUCUGAAGAAAACCCUGGUUGAGUCCAAACUACCUGCCAUUACCUGCUAUGCUGAUGCCAAGCCUGGUCUGCAGACACAUGGCUUCAUCAUCAGGGUGAAGGACUAUGGCUGCAUUGUCAAGUUCUACAAUGAUGUGCAGGGACUGGUGCCCAAGCACGAGCUCAGUGCUGAGUAUAUCCCUGACCCAGAGAGAGUCUUUUACACUGGCCAGGUGGUGAAGGUUGUGGUGCUGAACUGUGAGCCAUCCAAAGAGAGGAUGCUCUUAUCCUUCAAGCUGUUGAGUGAUCCAGAACUACAGAAAGAGCCUGCAGGACACAGUCAGAAGAAAGGAAGAGUCAUUAACGUUGGGCAGUUGGUGGAUGUGAAGGUUUUAGAGAAGACCAAAGAUGGGCUGGAGGUGACUAUCCUGCCCUACAACAUCCCUGCGUUCCUCCCGACGCCUCAUCUGUCAGACCACGUUGCCAACGGCCCGCUGUUAUAUCACUGGCUCCAGGCAGGCGACACCCUUCAUCGAGUCCUGUGUCUGAGCCGGAGCGAAGGACAUAUUCUUCUUUGCAGGAAGCCAGCUUUGGUCUCCACCGUAGAAGGUGGCCAGGACCCCAAGAACUUCUCAGAAAUCCAUCCUGGAAUGCUGCUUAUUGGUUUUGUGAAGAGCAUCAAGGACUAUGGUGUAUUCAUCCAGUUCCCCUCGGGUCUCAGUGGACUGGCCCCCAAAGCCAUCAUGAGUGACAAGUUUGUGACCUCCACAAGUGACCACUUUGUUGAGGGGCAGACAGUAGUUGCAAAGGUGACCAACGUGGAUGAGGAGAAGCAGCGGAUGCUGCUGUCAUUGCGCCUGUCGGACUGCGCUCUGGGGGACUUAGCCGCCACCAGUCUCCUCCUCCUGAGCCAGUGCUUGGAGGAGUUGCAGGGCGUGCGCAGCCUCAUGCGCAGCCGAGACUCUGUGUUGAUCCAGACGCUGGCUGAGAUGACUGCAGGAAUGGUCCUUGACCUAGUGGUGCAGGAGGUGUUGGAAGAUGGCUCUGUAUUGUUCAGCGGGGGCCCAGUGCCUGGCUUGGUCCUGAGAGCCAGCAAAUAUCAUCGGGCAGGGCAGGAGGUGGAAUCUGGGCAGAAAAAGAAGGCUGUGAUCUUAAAUGUUGAUAUGUUGACGUUGGAAGUCCAUGUUUCCCUUCACCAGGACUUGGUGAAUAGAAAAGCUAAAAAGCUGAAGAAAGAUAGCGAACACCAGGCGAUUGUGCAGCACUUGGAGGAGUCCUUCGCCGUUGCCUCCUUGGUAGAGACUGGCCACCUGGCAGCUUUCUCCCUGACCUCUCACCUCAACGACACCUUCCGCUUUGACUCAGAGAAGUUGCACAUCGGACAGGGUGUUUCCCUUACCCUCAAGACCACAGAACCAGGAGUGACUGGUCUUCUUUUGGCUGUUGAGGGGCCAGCUGCUAAGAGGACCAUGAGACAGACCCGGAAGGACUCUGAGACAGUUGACGAGGAUGAGGAAGUAGAUCCAGCUCUGGCUGUAGGGACUGUAAAGAAGCAUACCCUGUCUAUCGGGGACAUGGUCACAGGGACUGUGAAGUCCAUUAAGCCCACCCAUGUGGUUGUGACUCUGGAAGAUGGUGUCAUUGGCUGCAUCCAUGCCUCCCAUAUUCUAGAUGAUGUUCCAGAGGGCAUCUCUCCUACAACCAAGCUGAAAGUUGGAAAGACAGUCACUGCCCGAGUGAUUGGUGGGCGAGACAUGAAGACAUACAAGUUUCUUCCAAUAAGUCACCCCAGAUUUCUUCGGACCAUCCCGGAGCUGAGUGUUCGGCCAAGUGAGCUGGAGGAUGGCCACACUGCUCUUAACUCUCACUCUGUUAGCCGUAUGGAAAAGAUUAAACAGUACCAGGCCGGUCAGACCGUCACUUGCUUCUUAAAGAAGUACAACGUGGUGAAGAAAUGGCUUGAGGUGGAGCUUGCCCCAGACAUCCGGGGGCGAAUUCCCUUGUUGCUCAUGUCUCUUAGCUUCAAGGUUCUGAAACAUCCAGAUAAGAAGUUCCAGAUUGGCCAGGCCCUGAGGGCCACCGUGGUUGGCCCAGAUUCCUCCAAGGCCUUCUUAUGUCUCUCACUUAUAGGUCCUCACAAGCUUGAGAAAGGGGAGGUGGCCAUGGGCCGAGUAGCCAAGGUGACUCCCAAUGAAGGGCUGACUGUCUCCUUCCCCUUUGGGAAGAUAGGAAGAGUCAGUAUAUUUCAUGUGAAUGACUCCUACUCUGAGACACCCCUGGAAGACUUCAUCCCCCAGAAGGUUGUCAGAUGUUACGUCUUAUCCACCGAAGAUGAGGUAUUAACUUUGUCACUGCGAUCAUCCAGAACAAACCCGGAGACAAAAAGCAAAAUAGAAGAUCCGGAGAUUAACUCCAUCCGGGACAUUAAGAAAGGGCAUCUCUUGAGGGGCUACGUGAGGUCCGUGCAGCCAGACGGCGUGCUCGUCGGCCUUGGCCCCUCGGUUGUGGGUUUGGCCCAAUACCCACAUGUUUCCCAGUGCAGCCCGUCCAAGAAAACCCUUUAUAACAAAUACCUGCCCGAAGGGAAGUUGCUCACAGCCAAGAUUCUAAGCGUGAACCACCAGAAGAACCUGGUAGAGCUGUCGUUCCUCCCCAGCGACACUGGAAAGCCGGAUGUGUUAUCUGCUUCCAUGGAACUGCCACUUUCAAAGCAAGAGGAGAGGAAAAUAGAGGCUAAGGAGAGAGACCAAAAAGGAGAAGAGAAGAAUCAGAAAAGGAAAGAGAAGAAGAACCAAAAGGGGCAGGCGGCGGCGGCGCGGCUGCCCAGCAAGGAGAAGACGCAGGGCAAGCGGGAGCUGCAGACACCUGUAAGUGAGCAGGAAAGAGUGAAUAAGAAGGCAAAGAAAGCUGGUCCGUCAGAGGAGGAUGACAGUGGCAUGGAAGUGUAUUAUCGGGAAGGAGAAGAGGCGAUGGAAGAGAUGGAUAUGCUACCCAAGGAGAAGCCACCCAAGCCAGCAGAAGCUCCCCGGCUGCAGCUGCCUUCGGGCUUUGCUUGGAACGUGGGCCUAGACUCUCUGACGCCAGCCUUGCCACCUCGAGGAGAGAGCUCAGACAGUGAGGAGGAUGAGAAGCCACACCAAGCCACGCAGAAAAAGAAAAGCAAGAAGGAAAGGGAUUUGGAGAAGCAAAAGGCAGAGAAAGAGCUCUCCCGCGUUGAGGAAGCGCUGAUGGAUCCCAGGCGACAGCCGGAGUCAGCGGAUGACUUUGACCGACUGGUGCUGAGCUCCCCCAACAGCUCCAUCCUGUGGCUGCAGUACAUGGCUUUCCACCUGCAGGCCACGGAGAUCGAGAAGGCCCGUGCCGUGGCUGAGAGAGCCCUUAAGACCAUCUCCUUCAGAGAAGAGCAGGAGAAGCUGAAUGUGUGGGUGGCGCUGCUGAACCUGGAAAACAUGUACGGCUCUCAGGAGUCCCUGAACAAGGUCUUUGAGCGGGCCGUGCAGUACAACGAGCCUCUCAAGGUCUAUCUACACCUGGCUGACAUCUAUACCAAGUCAGAGAAGCUACAGUCUGGGAUUCCCCUUGCUAUGGGCGCAGGCAUAGUGGGGAAACGCCCCAUCGUUUCGUGCCUCCCUCUCUGCUCCUCUCGGGUCUUUGGAAUGAGCCCUACGCAGCGAUUUGGCGUCUGUGAGCCCAAGUCUAGCUUCUCGAAGCCGGUGAACUCUACAACCGGAUGCUGAAGCGUUUCCGGCAGGAGAAAGCUGUGUGGAUCAAAUAUGGCGCCUUUCUCCUGCGGAGGAGCCAGGCCGGGGCCAGUCACCGUGUGCUGCAGCGAGCCCUCGAGUGCCUGCCUAGCAAGGAGCAUGUGGAUGUGAUUACCAAGUUUGCCCAGCUUGAGUUCCAGCUGGGGGAUGCAGAGCGGGCCAAAGCCAUUUUUGAGAACACGCUGAGCACCUACCCAAAACGCACAGAUGUCUGGUCGGUCUACAUCGACAUGACCAUCAAGCACGGCAGCCAGAAGGAAGUCCGGGACAUCUUUGAGCGGGUCAUUCAUCUGAGCCUGGCCCCCAAGAGAAUGAAGUUCUUCUUCAAGCGCUACCUGGACUAUGAGAAGCAGCACGGCACAGAGAAGGACGUGCAGGCAGUCAAGGCCAAGGCCCUGGAGUACGUGGAGGCCAAGAGCUCAGUACUGGAGGAAUAGGGGCAGGCGGGCUCCUCCAGGCACCGUCAGCAGUGGGCACCCCCACCUCAGCGCCUGGACACUCUGAAAUCUAUUGCCUAAGGACUCUAUUUAAGUGCUGCUUUUUCUGUAUCAUCCCUGAGGAAUGCUGUCAGGAUGAAAAAGAAUUCGAGAUUGUUUCUAA
Non-coding RNA from Microcebus murinus (gray mouse lemur), 6128 nucleotides. NCBI's taxonomy places the organism in Eukaryota, Metazoa, Chordata, Mammalia, Primates, Cheirogaleidae. The record is from RefSeq and is a predicted model, not a curated record.